GAAGAAGUUGAGGUUUACUAGUAAGAAUGGAUGUCAGUAAUAUUGAGAGAUGAAAUUCCUUCUCAUGAAUUUUUUGAAAUUUUAAGAUAGAUAUACUGAGGUAAUGGUUUUAUUCUUAUUUUUGAGUGUGUGCAGUUCUAAGCAAUGUUUUUUAGAUUGUAACACUUGCAGAAAAAUUUAAGGAAAAUAUAUGUGGAAUUAAAAUUAUUUUGAAAUAGGA
Molecule: unclassified non-coding RNA, 220 nt
Filed under: Hevea brasiliensis (rubber tree)
Lineage: Eukaryota; Viridiplantae; Streptophyta; Magnoliopsida; Malpighiales; Euphorbiaceae
Source: RNAcentral